Molecule: ribosomal RNA, 466 nt
Filed under: uncultured bacterium
Lineage: Bacteria
Description: partial 16S ribosomal RNA
Rfam family: Bacterial small subunit ribosomal RNA
Source: RNAcentral
GAUGAACGCUGGCGGCGUGCCUAACACAUGCAAGUCGAGCGAUCUCUUCGGAGAGAGCGGCGGACGGGUGAGUAACGCGUGGGUAACCUGCCCUGUACACACGGAUAACAUACCGAAAGGUAUGCUAAUACGGGAUAAUAUAUAAAAGUCGCAUGGCUUUUAUAUCAAAGCUUUUGCGGUACAGGAUGGACCCGCGUCUGAUUAGCUAGUUGGUAAGGUAACGGCUUACCAAGGCGACGAUCAGUAGCCGACCUGAGAGGGUGAUCGGCCACACUGGAACUGAGACACGGUCCAGACUCCUACGGGAGGCAGCAGUGGGGAAUAUUGCACAAUGGGCGAAAGCCUGAUGCAGCAACGCCGCGUGAGCGGUGAAGGCCUUCGGGUCGUAAAGCUCUGUCCUCAAGGAAGAUUAUGACGGUACUUGAGGAGGAAGCCCCGGCUAACUACGUGCCAGCCGCCGCAGUAA